This 245-nucleotide ribosomal RNA is filed under the name uncultured bacterium. RNAcentral's name for it is "partial 16S ribosomal RNA". It matches the Rfam family "Bacterial small subunit ribosomal RNA", at positions 524 to 768 of the family's 1533-position model. The record is from RNAcentral.
UACGUAGGGAGCAAGCGUUGUCCGGAUUUACUGGGUGUAAAGGGUGCGUAGGCGGCUCUGCAAGUCAGGUGUGAAAACUAUGGGCUUAACCCAUAGACUGCAUUUGAAACUGUGGAGCUUGAGUGAAGUAGAGGCAGGCGGAAUUCCCGGUGUAGCGGUGAAAUGCGUAGAGAUCGGGAGGAACACCAGUGGCGAAGGCGGCCUGCUGGGCUUUAACUGACGCUGAGGCACGAAAGCAUGGGUAG